Molecule: ribosomal RNA, 142 nt
Filed under: uncultured bacterium
Lineage: Bacteria
Description: partial 16S ribosomal RNA
Rfam family: Bacterial small subunit ribosomal RNA
Source: RNAcentral
UCGGGAAUAUUGCGCAAUGGAGGAAACUCUGACGCAGUGACGCCGCGUGCAGGAAGAAGGUUUUUCGGAUUGUAAAACUGCUUUAAGACAGGGAAGAAAACAAGACAGUACCUGUAGAAUAAGCUCCGGCUAACUACGUGCC